This 127-nucleotide microRNA precursor is filed under the name Gossypium arboreum. RNAcentral's name for it is "MIR7502 microRNA precursor family". It matches the Rfam family "MIR7502 microRNA precursor family". Lineage: Eukaryota; Viridiplantae; Streptophyta; Magnoliopsida; Malvales; Malvaceae. The record is from Rfam by way of RNAcentral.
UGUUAAAAUUUUAUCCAUUUCUACUGAUAAAAAUUGGCAUGACUGAUGAAAUAAUCGAACAGUUACACAUGUUGUGUCUCGUGUACCUUAUUUUGUUUUUAACAAUAAAAAUGGUGAAAUUUUAAUA